GGAAACAGAUGCUAAUAACCGGAUAACAACAGAUGAUGCCUAUCAACUGUUUAAAAGAUGGUUCUGCUAUCACUCUUGGAUGGACCUGCGGUGCAUUAGCUAGUUGGUAGGGUAACGGCCUACCAAGGCGAUGAUGCAUAGCCGAGUUGAGAGACUGAUCGGCCACAUUGGGACUGAGACACGGCCCAAACUCCUACGGGAGGCAGCAGGC
RNAcentral lists this ribosomal RNA (211 nucleotides) under uncultured Lactobacillus sp. Its description in RNAcentral is "partial 16S ribosomal RNA". It matches the Rfam family "Bacterial small subunit ribosomal RNA", at positions 152 to 354 of the family's 1533-position model. The record is from RNAcentral. Lineage: Bacteria; Bacillati; Bacillota; Bacilli; Lactobacillales; Lactobacillaceae.